Molecule: ribosomal RNA, 497 nt
Filed under: uncultured bacterium
Lineage: Bacteria
Description: partial 16S ribosomal RNA
Rfam family: Bacterial small subunit ribosomal RNA
Source: RNAcentral
GAUGAACGCUGGCGGCGUGCCUAAUACAUGCAAGUCGAGCGAACGGACGAGAAGCUUGCUUCUCUGAUGUUAGCGGCGGACGGGCGAGUAACACGUGGAUAACCUACCUAUAAGACUGGGAUAACUUCGGGAAACCGGAGCUAAUACCGGAUAAUAUUUUGAACCGCAUGGUUCAAAAGUGAAAGACGGUCUUGCUGUCACUUAUAGAUGGAUCCGCGCUGCAUUAGCUAGUUGGUAAGGUAACGGCUUACCAAGGCAACGAUGCAUAGCCGACCUGAGAGGGUGAUCGGCCACACUGGAACUGAUACACGUUCCAGACUCCUACGGGAGGCAGCAGUAGGGAAUCUUCCGCAAUGGGCGAAAGCCUGACGGAGCAACGCCGCGUGAGUGAUGAAGGUCUUCGGAUCGUAAAACUCUGUUAUUAGGGAAGAACAUAUGUGUAAGUAACUGUGCACAUCUUGACGGUACCUAAUCAGAAAGCCACGGCUAACUACGUG